GCUGACACAUCCCGGCCAAUCUCCAGCAGACCCUCCCUCCCAGACCCUCCCACCUCCUGGACAGCAUCCAUGUGUUGAAGCUGCCUUCAACAUGGAUGCUGUCCAGGAAGUAGGAGGGUCUGGGAGGGAGGGUCUGCUGGAGAUUGGCCGGGAUGUGUCAG
RNAcentral lists this microRNA precursor (161 nucleotides) under Pelobates cultripes (western spadefoot toad). The record is from RNAcentral. Lineage: Eukaryota; Metazoa; Chordata; Amphibia; Anura; Pelobatidae.